RNAcentral lists this long non-coding RNA (221 nucleotides) under Fukomys damarensis (Damara mole-rat). Its description in RNAcentral is "lncRNA (ENSFDAG00000028652.1)". Lineage: Eukaryota; Metazoa; Chordata; Mammalia; Rodentia; Bathyergidae. The record is from RNAcentral.
AUCCUCCUCAUCAUGAAGAUGAAAUCUUCACUUUCCUUACUUUUCUGGGGGGAAGGGUGCAAGAGAUAAUCCAAGAAAGAGGGCUAUUGUCUACCUAGUCCUUCACUUGACUUGUGAGGAUUUAGCCAAAGAAAUUCUUUUCAAGAGUGUAAACUACUUGACAGCUUCUAUUCUAUGGUUUCUCUUGUAAGGUACAAACAACAACAGCAACAACAGCAGCA